RNAcentral lists this long non-coding RNA (348 nucleotides) under Homo sapiens (human). RNAcentral describes it as "HSALNT0294569". The record is from RNAcentral. Lineage: Eukaryota; Metazoa; Chordata; Mammalia; Primates; Hominidae.
GGCGGUUGGCGGGAAGGAAGUCCAGCCCCCUCAUCUUCUGCUCCAGCCACUUCCAGCUGCCUUCCUGGAAUCCCAGAGACUGAAUCAGAGCAUUUUGGAGCUAGGCAGACCACCUGCCACAUUUUCAGCUGAGGCAGUUGGGGCCCAGAGAGGUUAAGGGCCUGCCCAAUGCCACACAGCCAGUGGGUAAGGCCUACAGUGCUCUUACCAGGACCUCAAACCUUCAUUCUGAAACACCAAAAGCUGCCAUCAGACCAGAGAAGGACCCUCUUGAAAUAAACAUAUUAGCUUUGAAAUCCCUGGCCUCAGGAGGACCAGCCAUGUGCUUCUCAUUUGCAGAGUAGAGGG